This 777-nucleotide long non-coding RNA is filed under the name Homo sapiens (human). RNAcentral's name for it is "long independently transcribed non-coding RNA 2157 (LINC02157)". The record is from RNAcentral. Lineage: Eukaryota; Metazoa; Chordata; Mammalia; Primates; Hominidae.
UUUUUAUAUUUUUAGUAGAGAUGGGGUUUUACCAUCUUGGCCAGGCUGGUCUUGAACUCCUGACCUCGUGAUCCAUCCACCUAGGCCUCCCAAAGUGCUGGGAUUACAGGUGUGAGGAGCUCUCGAGCCUGGGAGUAUAAGACUGCAGUGAGCUACUAUCACAUAGUUGCACGCCAGCCUGGGUGACAGGGUGAAACCCUAUCCAAAUAAUAAUAAUAAUAAUUUGACAAAUAAAGUCUCUUUUAAUGUAGCUGGAAUUGUGUAAGAAAGUCUUUCCUCAGCAAAUAAGAAAUGGACUAUGAAAUCUCCCAGAAUCUUUUUUAGCCCCUAAUUAGCUAUAAAUCUCCUGACAGUUUAGCCAUGGGAGGCCCAAGACAUGAAUUGGUGGCAUGGCACAUGGUCUAAUGUGCAUAUUGUAUAAAGUUAUCUAAAUACAUCUUGAGAGAGUCCACGCUUUCUCCAUUCUUUUGAAGUACAUUUCCAUGGGUAGCAGACAGAUGAACAAAAUGCUGGUUCUAGGACCUCAGAUAUACUGUACCUGUUUCAAUCAGAUGCAUAACUGUGGUAGGGCUGUUAUUGUUUACUUUUCAUACUAUCACUAGCAACUUUAAUUUUUGGUUAAGUUCUCGAAAUCUCUUUCUGGAAAAGCAAAUGAUAUCACAUUCUCCAUUCUCCUGGUUAACAGUGUCAUUAUCACACUGCAGAUUCUCAAACAAACAGCUAAGUUCCACUGUCAUUCCGAAUCCUUUCUCUUUCUUUUGUAAUGCAUUCACAAAC